RNA transcript from Fragaria vesca subsp. vesca, 1733 nucleotides. It is a transcript of the gene named cytochrome P450 87A3-like, with no coding region annotated. The record is from RefSeq and is a predicted model, not a curated record. The transcript has 10 exons. Lineage: Eukaryota; Viridiplantae; Streptophyta; Magnoliopsida; Rosales; Rosaceae.
ACAAACAAGAAGGGAUAAGCAGCUGGCAAGACCAAAUUAAGUUCAUCAUGCAUGAAAUAAAUAUACACCACCCCAAAAUGAACGCAAAUUCCUUUGCUAGUUGUUACUUCUGCCAUGUCUAGUACUGGAUGCUUCACAGAUGCAUACUUCCUUCUCAGUUGAGAUUUUUCUUCGAUUAAUGUAUCAAUAAUCAUCUGUUCUUUAUCGAUCAGUUUGUGAAAGAUCUUCCCGAUCUGUAGUUGAUACUUGAUAGCUAGACUGUUAGAUGUUGGGUGUGUGCAUUGUAGCGCUAGUUGCUAUAGGGAUUACACACUGGGUUUAUAGGUGGAGAAAUCCCAGAUGCAAUGGCAAACUUCCACCAGGUUCGAUGGGUUGGCCCCUCAUAGGCGAGACCUUACAGUACCUGGCUCCCAACUCCUCCUUUGAUGUUCCACCUUUCAUCAAGACAAGGAGGGAAAGGUAUGGGCCAAUAUUCAAGAGUCAAUUGAUGGGAGCACCAUUCAUAGUGUCCACAGACCCUGAACUCAAUAUGUAUGUGUUCCAACAAGAUGAUAAAUUGUUUCAAAGUGGGUAUCCAGAUUCUGUGCAAAAGAUAUUUGGCAAACAACAAAUGGGAAACGUGCAUGUGUUAGUAUACAAGUACCUGAAGAGGAUGACGCUAAACCUCAUUGGCCCCGAAAGCCUUAAAAAGGGGCUACCUGAAAUUGAACAAGCAAUACACACAAGUAUGCAACAAUGGUCAUUUCAAGACACUACAGAUGUUAAAGAAGCAGCUGCAGAUAUGAUAUUUUCCCUCUCUGCAAAGAGACUCAUGAGUUAUGAUUCCAGUAACUCCUCAGAUAACCUAAGUGCAAACUUCAGUGCCUUCGCUGAUGGACUGAUUGCCAUCCCUUUGAAUAUCCCCGGAACAGCUUUUCACAAAUGUUUACAGGGUAGGGACAGGGUAUUGAGCAGGCUAAAAGACAUGCUGAAGGAAAGACGAGCAACAUCUCGAAAGCAACCUAUUGAUUUUAUCGAUUAUGUCCUUGAAGAACUUGAUAAAGAAGGAACAGUCUUAACAGAGGAAAUUUGUUUUGAUUUGAUGUUUAUGCUGCUCUAUACAAGUUUUGAAACAACUUCCACAGCAAUGACACUGCUCCUCAAGUUUGUUUCGGACCAUCCUCUGGUGCUAAAGCAAUUAACGGAAGAACAUGAGAAGAUUAUAAAACAAAGGGAAAAUGCAAAUUCAGGACUUACCACGGGAAGAAUACAAAUCAAUGAAAUUUACAUUGCAGUUGAUUCAAUGAACGGUUAGACUGGCAAGUCAAGUGCCAGGCAUCUUUCGCAAGGCAAUAAAAGAGGUACAGUUCAAGGGAUAUACGAUCCCAGAAGGUUGGUCAGUUCUGGUUUGUUUCCAACCCCAGCACUUAAACCCAGAAAAGUAUGAAGAUCCUCUGGCCUUCAACCCAUGGAGAUGGGAGGGAAUGGAAACAACUAGUGUAUCACAAAAUUUCAUGGCUUUUGGUGGUGGCAUGAGAUUCUGUGUUGGAACAGACUUAUAUUUGAGAAACUUUGCUAAGAUGCAGAUGGCUGUAUUUUUGCAUUGCUUGGUGACCAAGUACAGGUGGCAAGCAGUGAGGGGUGGCAAUAUAGUCCGAACUCCAGGUUUACAAUUCCCAGAUGGUUUCCACAUUCGAGUACAGGAGAAACAAGAUGCAAGUAACAAGAAACAGCAAACAACUCCAGAUACUUGA